This is an RNA transcript of Macrobrachium nipponense, 5558 nucleotides long. It is a transcript of the gene named synaptosomal-associated protein 25-like, with no coding region annotated. Lineage: Eukaryota; Metazoa; Arthropoda; Malacostraca; Decapoda; Palaemonidae. The transcript has 8 exons. The record is from RefSeq and is a predicted model, not a curated record.
UUAAAUAAACGAGUUAUGAUUUCCGUGUGGAAUCGGCCGCAGAUAGAUUCUAUAAGGUUCUUAAAAUUAAAUGCUGUUUUUCAGUUUAUAAAUAUUGAUUGGCUUUUGUUUGGGCGGUUAAGAACGCUGACGAGCCGCUUAGUGACGUCACCGAAACUCCUCCCUCUUGCGCGGGAAAAGCUCUCUGCAUGUUAUGGCCCGGGGUUCCCUGUGCGUGUAUGUCUGCCCUUUUUGGAGAAUAUGGGUGAUGGGGCUGGGGAACCCAGGUCAGAACUGCAAGAGCUGCAGUUCAAGUCCAACCAAGCCACAGAUGAAACCUUGGAAUCCACCCGUCGUAUGUUGUCGCUAUGCGAAGAGGCCCAAGACUCUGGUGCUAAAACUUUAUAUAUGCUAGGAGAACAAGGGGAGCAACUGGAUCGAAUUGAGGAGGGUAUGGACCAGAUCAAUGCCGAUAUGAAGGAAGCUGAGAAGAAUUUGACGGGAAUGGAGAAAUGCUGCGGUCUGUGUGUCUUGCCUUGCAACAAGUCAUCACAGUUUAAAGAAGAUGAAUCCACUUGGAAGGGCAAAGAAGAUGGUGUAGUGAAUUCUCAACCCCAGCGUGUUAUGGAUGACCGAAAUGGCUUAGGGGCAGCUGGUGGAUAUAUUGGACGCAUUACGAAUGAAGCUCGUGAAGAUGAAAUGGAAGAAAAUAUGGGCCAAGUGAACACCAUGAUUGGUAACCUGCGAAACAUGGCUCUUGACAUGGGCUCUGAGAUAGAGAACCAGAAUAGACAAAUUACCAGAAUCAACGCAAAGGCAGAUUCCAACGUCACCCAUGUUAAGGAGGCUAAUGAGAAAGCAGGCAAACUUCUCAAGUCGUAAAGCAAAAGCAAUGCCUCCAUGUUUUCUCAUGAUCAUAAUUACACGAAAUGGCGGAGUCAAACACUAUGAGAGUAAACAUGGCCAACGAGAGGGCUGGAUCUCUUUUAAAGAAUGCAUAAGAACAUUCACUGCCUUCACCACUUCCACAAAAUCAAGAAGCAUCCAGGGCCAGAACCCCAGAAGCUGGAUGAUUUUCUUGAGGAAAAGGCAGUGUUUAAUGUACCAAUUAUUGUAGCUCCUUGACUAAUUCGUAAUUAUAGUUCUCAUAUAUCAUUUAAAGCUGCAAGUGAUCAGUUUCUAUUAUGAUAGGAAAAUCUAAAGUGAAUGUAAAUCUCACAGAUAUUUCCCAGUUGUAUUGGGCAUGACUUUUAAAAAUUGUACAUAAUUUUUUUAGAUAAAAGUUCACUACAUUUUCUGGCCUCGACAGUAGGUGGAAAUCCAUACUGUAUAUUCUCAUAGGUAAAAUGCUGGCCCUUUGCUUAUGAGAAAUACAAUGUUAUCUUGACCUGUAGAAAAUUUAAGCUUGUUUUGUUAUUGUUACAUACCAUUUGUUAAUUUUGUAGGCAUAGAAGACAUCAUCCAAUUCAUUGAAAUACAAAAAGCAUCAUCAUUUCUUUGAGUCAAGCAUUUGGAAGUCAUUUUAAGUCUCCUUACUUAGGUUCAUUCAUCAUAUGAUAUUGCACCAAAAUUAUAACUAUUUAAACUAUUUAUUUGGUGGUUUUAAGUACAUGAGCAUCUCCAAUUCUCUUAAGGCAUAAUCCACUAUUCAGAUAGUAUUUACUGUUUCUGGAUCAGAUAUUCAUCUAUAUAUCUCUGUAGUUGUGAAUUGUAUUCAGUCUCAAAUGUUAGUGCCAAGAUGACACUGUAACAUUGCUGAUCUACUGAAUAUUCUUACAGCUAUAAAUCUUCAGACCAGUCUAGUAACCUCUUUAUCAAAUAUAGAUAAGAUUACCAAUGCCAAGCCUGCAGUACUCAGUACUAUUAUAAGAGGAAGAUUUUGUUUCUUUUUGAGAAUCUUCUGCGGGAUAUUUAAUUAGGCUUGUAUUGAUUUUCUCAUCUGGAAUACAUCAGACCUAAUGUAGUAGUUGCUGUUUGGCCCAGUAUAUAGAGUUAAAACUAACCACAAGUUGUGUGUUUUUGCCUUAGACAGAAUCAUAUCUGUGGCUUGCUUAUUCCCCUUACUUACUCUUGCAAGGAAGGGGAUUUCCAGUUCCAAACCUGCAUUAUGUAUGUCCUGAGUAAGGAUUUUACUCAGUUUACCUCUGACUGCUGUAUCUCUCAUCCCAUACAAGUACUUGGUCAUUCUGGUGAUUUGUAUGUUUAUUACUUGUCAUCUUGGAACUUGAGGUUCUUAUGCACUUGUUAAAACAAUGAGUACAUCUUACUACAAAACUGAACUCCUUGGAACUGAAGAUCCCCUUGUGUUAUUUCCCACUGAGCAUUUUGGCAAGAUGGAUUAGAUGCUAAAGCAUUUCUUCGUUUUGAAUUUUGAUAACUAGGAGCAGAAUUUGAACAUUUUUAUAUAUGAAGAAGUAGAGAGGGGUUAGGGAAGUGCAAAGCAGUUAAAAAUUUGAUAUUAAAAGUAUCAAAAUUUGUUGUGAGGCCUUACAAUAAAUUCCAAACAAAAGUACAUAUACUGGAUUUACUUUGGCAAACAAUUAAUAUUACUUCGUAGGACUUGACAGUGCUUUGCUCAGACAUUUACAUUAUUUUGCAUUCUUUAAAUUGUUAAAAAUAAAAGAAAAUAUUGAUACAAUACUGAAUAGUUUAACCUUGUUAAAACAAAAACUGAUCCAAUUUGAUAUAGUAUGUAUGGGCUGUUGUGGAAAUUAUUUGAAUCUGAAUCAUGUGUUUGUUACAAAAUAUUAGAUGUAAGUUUUUGAUUAAAACUGGUUACAGUCAGCUUAGUGUACUAGUUCUUUGAGCUCAUUCUUUUUCAUAGAAAGUUGAAUUUGAUAAAGUUUCAAUGCCUCAUUUAUGAUGUACUUAGUCAUGUGCAUUGUUUGAGAGUAUGCCAAAUAGUUCAAUACAGGUAUGUAAGUUUUGAAAAGUGGAAGCCUUCCUUUAUCAAAAAUUUACUAUAAAAGAUCAUUUCAGGCUCAGACAUGGUUUCUGUCACUUAAUAACUUGGUGGUAAUACAUUACCCAAAUGUCAGUUGUUGAAAUUACCUGUAUCAUUUAAUAAAGACAAUAUUGCACAUUUCAUUUGUUAGGGUAAUACUAUAAGGUUGUACCCUUAGCAAAUCUAGGCCUGAGGCCAACAUCUCUUGAUAGUAGGGUUACUCAAAUAGCUAUAGCCUUUAUUAGGCUCAGAGGUCAUGGUAAACUAAUCCUUUAUAAUAAUAAUAAAAUAAUAAUACUCAAAUAGCUAGGAGUGUUAUGAAAAGUAAAUCCAAAAUUUAGGUAGAACAUUUUUACUACUUGCAUGUACAAAUUGGAGCUUGUAUAUUCAUCAAUACCUAGGUAAUGUAUUUUUUAGAAAAUAUUGAUAUUAUCAGUAAUGUUACUCAAAAUUGUCCUUUGUUUCUUUUAAAAAAUUAAGUGGAACAUAGUUAUUGUUGAGCAAAACGUUAUGGCUGAUAGAAUUUAAAACUACAGAAAUGAGUUGAAGUUUCUCAUAUUGGCUUGCAUAGAUUUGCUAAGGCAACUGCCUUAAAUUGUUGGUAUGUAUUAUUAUCAUUAUUCAGAAAAUGUUUUUGAAGAUUUCUGUGUGUGCCCAUUAAUGAGGCAGUUAUGCUCAAUCAUGCUGUGCUCAACUCAAUAAUCUUUUGGGCCAAAUAAAAUAUUGGUAUAUUUUCAGAUCAUCUGUUCUUGAAUCUUAAAUUUUACAUUGUUAUCUUAAAACUAUCAGUAUUAGGGCUACUGAAUGCAGAUAAACUCAUGGACUUUCAAAUGUUUAUGUAAUGGUUAAGAUUGGUGUAGAUUUUGUACAAGCAGGUGUUUCCUCACCGUGACACAUGGUUGUAAGCUGUGAUAUUCUCUUUUGGUUUAAUCAUGCAAAUAACAGAUUCAUGUGUUAGGUCAUAUCAAAACUAAUGAAAGUGUUGAUGUUUUCGUAGGACAUUUUCAUAGUACUACUUUUUGCAUGGCAUUUUGGGUAGGCACCAAAUAAAUUGUGUUUUUGUAUUUUCUUUCCUCCUUUAGCAGAUAAGUCCACAGCUAAUUCAAGUCAAAUUAACAGGUCAUAGUAAAGUGGUAUAAAGGCUAAUAAGAAAUGCUCCACAAAUUUGCAUGCCUUGGUACACCUAAAGUUUUUGAAGAAUGAUUUGUUGCAGUGCUAGAUUGUUGUCGUUGCAACUUUAUAUAUCUUAUUCACAUGCCACCUAUAUUGAUUUAACUGACACUGGUUUAUGGUGAAUAAGAGAAAGGUAGUUUGUUAACUAGGAGGUGGCAUUUAAAGAUAGUACUUCAAGGAUAUAACAUUUCAGAUUGCAGUGGAAGAACCAAGAGUUCCAUGUGCAUUACCAGAAAUUAAGAGAAAUUCCCCCAAUUCGAUGUUCAUUCAAAGAGCAUGUGGCAACAGAUGGUUAUGAACAUGAAUCUUGUCUCCUCCUGUGAACUGUAUAAUAAUCCUUGAAAGUUUUGUAGGUCCAGGGUUAAAUGCAGUUGUAAAUGACCGUUUACAAAUGUAGAGUAUACCCUGCUAUUUUGACUGGAGAUGCCUUUUCAAAGUGAGUAUAAAAUCCUAUGGUUUAGCGUAGGAGUGAAAUAUCCACAGCACAAUAUGGUGGCAUAUCUAGUAUUUAGCUUUAGAUCUUCAUGUCUUUUCUAUUGUGAUUUGUGUCUUAGUGGUUUGUAAUAUGCAGAGAAGGCCCACCCAAUUUUUCCGUGUCACUUCUCUGUGUUGGUUCAUCCCCAAAGAGUGGAAGGGAACUCCUUCAGGGAGUAGCGAAGCAGUCAUAUUUUUUCUUUUUAUACAGUGAAAAUUCAAACAUGAGUGUUUUGAUGGCUGUGCAGAAAAAAUUUGGUUGCUUGACAGUCUGCCAUCUUAAGUUCUCCAUGUUAUGAAUGCAAAUUUUUUGUAUUAAGGACAAGUUCAUACUGCAGAACAUUGAACAGAAAUGGACUGUUUAUUCCAAGCAUAGCCAGAUCACCUUUUUGUUGUGCAUAAUAAAGAAUAAGGUCCCCACAAAUGGAUGGUUAGGGUAACCCUGCAUUGCCUUCACAAUCCUCAUAAUGCUAUUCCAGGACUGCUUCUUCCCCUACACUUCAUUAAUUUUACUCUGUGCUCCCCUCUGGAAUUUUUUUGUGAAUAGCUCUUAGCAUCUUUUGUAGUUUAGAUAGUUUGAUUAUAAACUUAUUUCAGACAGUGAUCUGAUGAACCAGAAGGGAAAUGCAAAAAUUUAGGUGACUAUACUGGUAUUGAGCAUUCCACAUGUCAAAGGGUGUCUACAUUUUCUGUGCACUUCAAUAGAUCUAUUUUUCUUUUGUACAUGGAAGUUGAUAGUGUGGGGAUUGAAUCAUUAAGUAUUAUUUUAUACUGGGCUCCAGGAUUAAAUGAGUAUUUCAUCAAGUAAAUUCAGCUAUGCAGAUGAUCUUUGGUGUUGUUUAUAUAAUUGACUGCAUUACAAUAAUGUGCACAUGAGAAAUGAUGAAUUGGUAAAUGGGAAUUAAAUUCAUUGUGAUUUUUCCUGUUUUCUCAUAGGGGAGCAUUUGUUAUAGUAAAUACGUAUCAUUUAAUAAAUAUGUAAACCAGU